RNAcentral lists this ribosomal RNA (449 nucleotides) under uncultured bacterium. Its description in RNAcentral is "partial 16S ribosomal RNA". It matches the Rfam family "Bacterial small subunit ribosomal RNA", at positions 354 to 796 of the family's 1533-position model. The record is from RNAcentral.
GUCGAGAAUCUUUCACAAUGGGGGCAACCCUGAUGGAGCGACGCCGCGUGGAGGAUAAGGUCUUCGGAUUGUAAACUCCUGUCAUGCGUGAACAAGGUUGCUUGGUUAAUACCUGGGCAAAUUGAUGGUAACGCAAGAGGAAGAGACGGCUAACUCUGUGCCAGCAGCCGCGGUAAUACAGAGGUCUCAAGCGUUGUUCGGAAUCACUGGGCGUAAAGGGUGCGUAGGUGGCGUGGUAAGUCAGAUGUGAAAGCCCGGGGCUCAACCUCGGAACUGCAUCCGAUACUGCCAUGCUAGAGUACUGGAGACGUGACUAGAAUUCUCGGUGUAGCAGUGAAAUGCGUAGAUAUCGAGAGGAAUACCAAAGGCGUAGGCAGGUCACUGGACAGUUACUGACACUGAGGCACGAAGGCCAGGGGAGCGAACGGGAUUAGAAACCCGAGUAGUCC